RNAcentral lists this ribosomal RNA (464 nucleotides) under uncultured bacterium. RNAcentral describes it as "partial 16S ribosomal RNA". It matches the Rfam family "Bacterial small subunit ribosomal RNA", at positions 29 to 507 of the family's 1533-position model. The record is from RNAcentral.
ACGAACGCUGGCGGCGUGCUUAACACAUGCAAGUCGAACGGAAAGGCCCCUUUGGGGGUACUCGAGUGGCGAACGGGUGAGUAACACGUGAGUAACCUGCCCUUGACUUCGGGAUAACUUCAGGAAACUGGGGCUAAUACCGGAUAGGAAUCCUUGCUGCAUGGUGGGGGUUGGAAAGCUUCGGCGGUUUUGGAUGGACUCGCGGCUUAUCAGCUUGUUGGUGGGGUAGUGGCUUACCAAGGCUUUGACGGGUAGCCGGCCUGAGAGGGCGACCGGCCACAUUGGGACUGAGAUACGGCCCAGACUCCUACGGGAGGCAGCGGUGGGGAAUAUUGCACAAUGGGCGGAAGCCUGAUGCAGCAACGCCGCGUGCGGGAUGACGGCCUUCGGGUUGGAAACCGCUUUCAGCAGGGGCGAAGCUUGUGGUGACGGUACCUGCAGAAGAAGCACCGGCUAACUACGUG